Non-coding RNA from Pogona vitticeps (central bearded dragon), 769 nucleotides. NCBI's taxonomy places the organism in Eukaryota, Metazoa, Chordata, Lepidosauria, Squamata, Agamidae. The record is from RefSeq and is a predicted model, not a curated record.
AGCCAUCCCUUUUUAAAAAGUUAAGUUUUCUUCCCCUUUUUUGCCAUUUUGCUUCUAAUGCCCUGUUUGCCCUCUUUGUGGGGCGAAUGUUGGUCUUGGGGGGCCUUAGGGCCACUCUUUCUUGGAAACCCCUUAGAACAGUUGCACUAAAACAAACUGUCUAUAAAUUCCUGAAAUCAACACAUUCCUUCCUUCAUACCCACAAUGUACCAGUUCCAUCCAGGCAAGGGCUCUCGGAGCCGUCCGGUUCCCCCGUCCCAGCCGGGAGUGUUUGGGGGACAGAGGGCAAGAAAGUCUGCAAGGAAGUCUCUCUGCACGUCCUGGAAAGGGUUGGAGGAUAAAACGUGUGUCACCUUUUCUCCUUCCCGCGUCCAGUGUCCUUUCAGGAGGUGGCCCUGUAUUGCCCCCAACUCAGAGGGUGGGAUCGUCUAGAUCGAGGCUCAAGAUCUCUGCGCGAGGACCUCCUGCUGGAAAUGAUUUCUGGGAACAAAGUUCCUCCAGUGUCCUUUGAGGAGGUGACCCCAUAUUGCCUCCCACAAGACUGGGAUCUUCUGGAUCAACACUAGAGAUCUCUCUGCGAGGACCUCCUGCUGGAGAUUUCUGGGACCGAAGUCUCUCCAGAUGAUGAACAAGAAAAGAAGAAUCACCCAGCAACUCCUGGGGCAACCUCAGAAGAAAUAGAUAAACAAGGAAAAAAAUCAGAGAACUGAAAAUCCAACUGAGCAGGAAUAGAUGUCACCUGAAAGAACUCUUGCAAGGGAGAAACCAA